AACGCAUCUUCUAGCAGACAUCUUUAGAAAUAUGCGUGCUUUCGAGCCGUACGUGACACCGUCGAGAGAAAAAAAAAAAAAAAAAAAAAAAAAAAAAAACUCAACACAACUAGCAUUAGCUUGACAACUUGCCGUGAGGGGUGUGAACGCGUGCAGCUAUAGCUUCGUCUUUUACAGACGGGGACAAUGUGACGCUCGAGCGGCCAGCUGGUCAUUGUUCACUCGUCGUGUUUACAGCGCAAGAGAUUAAAGAGAAUGGCUUGUGAGCAAGGUGAAAGUUUCCUUCCGUCGUCGAGAGCGUCUGGCGGGGACUUCGAGGCUUUGGAGCUUUCACAUCAGAGCAUGCAAACCAUAUGCAGACUCCCCCAUUUUGUCGGCGGGUUGGAAUCAGACAUGCUGCUCUAAAUAAAAAAAAACCAAAUCAUAAAAGAUGCAAUUGUAAGGCGGUGUGAAUAUGUUUGUAUUUACAUCCGUGGAAAUACCCUCGAAAGACUUUUGGUGCCAUUACACGGGGAAGUGAUUUAGGAUCGGCGAGCCAAUGGAGUGGACACAAAACUCAU
Molecule: long non-coding RNA, 560 nt
Organism: Phyllopteryx taeniolatus (common seadragon)
Lineage: Eukaryota; Metazoa; Chordata; Actinopteri; Syngnathiformes; Syngnathidae
Exons: 3
Source: RefSeq, a predicted model, not a curated record